RNAcentral lists this long non-coding RNA (611 nucleotides) under Dermacentor andersoni. RNAcentral's name for it is "uncharacterized LOC126527014". Lineage: Eukaryota; Metazoa; Arthropoda; Arachnida; Ixodida; Ixodidae. The record is from RNAcentral.
CCGGACCUGCAUUUGCACCCCAAUGCAAUGCACAUACAUUUAGCUUGCUGCAUGAGCUUGCCUGGCAGUCAGAGUGUUCCCGUCAGGACCCUUACGUCGCAGCAAGUGCAUUUACCCUCGCAUCGAAAGGCUUAGUGGGAGACUACAAAGAAAACAAAUUUUACAACACCACUUAUUGGCACAUGUCGGAGGAAGUUGAGGCCACAUACCCAAUGCCUGGUCUUGGACUGCCAGGGUCAUCUCGGCCACCCGUGUCUUGGACAAGUGAAGGCGGUGGUGCAAUUGCUGCUCCUGCUAAGCCUGCUGCAAAGCGAGAAAGACAAACGACGUUUGACAUCAAAGGAAAUCAAUGGCACAGGGACAAAGCCGGUCUGCCCCAUGUAGCACGCCCAGACAGGAGCAUGUGAGCGUGCAUUCAAGCCCUGUGUGGCAGUUGCGCAUUGCUGUGCCUGCUGCGUAGUGUAAAUAUACUGUGGCCAUAGGUGGGGUACCACCACUCUACCACUACUGGCGCCACCACGCUGCCCUGCUCCUUCAAAACAAAAGACAUUGAGGGCAAAUGGUAAAGGUAACCACUGCACUCCCAGUAUGUAUGCUUAUACUAUGUCUCU